AAUCAAGUAAAUCAAUCACCAAUUCAAAUUUGAACACUGUCAUACUCCAAAAUUCACCCUACCCCGAUACAAUUUUCAUCUGAUCCAUGACCCUACUGCACAUGCAUACAUUCAUUAUUUCAAAAAAAAUAUAUAAAAAAAAACUCGGUAACCGGUUACCCUAAUUAAGGUAACCGGUUACACCUGCACAGAAAGCAGAAAUGACCCUGUUUUUUACACAAAGGAC
RNAcentral lists this long non-coding RNA (226 nucleotides) under Lathyrus oleraceus (garden pea). Its description in RNAcentral is "Pisum sativum (pea) long non-coding RNA (PSAT_LNC004845)". The record is from RNAcentral. Lineage: Eukaryota; Viridiplantae; Streptophyta; Magnoliopsida; Fabales; Fabaceae.